GGAGUUAGCCGGUGCUUCUUCUGCGAGUAACGUCACAGAUGUAAGGUAUUAACUUACACCCUUUCCUCCUCGCUGAAAGUGCUUUACAACCCGAAGGCCUUCUUCACACACGCGGCAUGGCUGCAUCAGGGUUUCCCCAAUUGUGCAAUAUUCCCCACUGCUGCCUCCCGUAGGAGUCUGGGCCGUGUCUCAGUCCCAGUGUGGCUGAUCAUCCUCUCAGACCAGCUAGGGAUCGUCGCCUAGGUGAGCCUUUACCUCACCUACUAGCUAAUCCCACCUGGGCUUAUCCAUCAGCGCAAGGCCCGAAGGUCCCCUGCUUUCCCCCGUAGGGCGUAUGCGGUAUUAGCAGUCGUUUCCAACUGUUAUCCCCCACAAAUGGGCAAAUUCCCAGGCAUUACUCACCCGUCCGCCGCUCGUCAUCUUCAAAAGCAAGCUUUUGAAAUGUUACCGCUCGACUUGCAUGUGUUAGGCCUGCCGCCAGCGUUCAAUCUGAGCCGAGGAUACAAACUACUGA
Molecule: ribosomal RNA, 514 nt
Filed under: uncultured bacterium
Lineage: Bacteria
Description: partial 16S ribosomal RNA
Source: RNAcentral